AAAAUUUAAAAUUAUAAUACUAAAAUAGUAAAUAAUUAUUUAUUAAAACUUAAAUAAUUUGGCGGUAUUUUAGUUCAUUUAGAGGAAUCUGUUUAAUAAUUGAUAUUCCACGAAUAAAUUUACUUAAUUUAUAAUUUUGUAUAUCGUUGUUAUAAAAAUAUUUUUUAAUAAAAUUAAUAUUUAAAAAUUAUUAUAAAAAUUUAAAUCAGAUCAAGAUGCAGAUUAUAAUUAAGAAUAUAAUGGAUUACAAUAAAAUUAUUUAAAUUAAUAUUAAUUUGUAAAAAUUAAUUGAAAGUGGAUUUAAAUGUAAUUUUAUUUAAUUUAAUAAAAUGAUUAAAAAUUAAAAUAUGU
Molecule: ribosomal RNA, 351 nt
Filed under: Acrapex dabaga
Lineage: Eukaryota; Metazoa; Arthropoda; Insecta; Lepidoptera; Noctuidae
Description: partial 12S small subunit ribosomal RNA
Source: RNAcentral